This 492-nucleotide ribosomal RNA is filed under the name uncultured bacterium. RNAcentral describes it as "partial 16S ribosomal RNA". It matches the Rfam family "Bacterial small subunit ribosomal RNA", at positions 29 to 507 of the family's 1533-position model. The record is from RNAcentral.
AGUGAACGCUGGCGGUAGGCCUAACACAUGCAAGUCGAACGGCAGCACAGUAAGAGCUUGCUCUUACGGGUGGCGAGUGGCGGACGGGUGAGGAAUACAUCGGAAUCUACUUUUUCGUGGGGGAUAACGUAGGGAAACUUACGCUAAUACCGCAUACGACCUACGGGUGAAAGCAGGGGAUCUUCGGACCUUGCGCGAUUGAAUGAGCCGAUGUCGGAUUAGCUAGUUGGCGGGGUAAAGGCCCACCAAGGCGACGAUCCGUGGCUGGUCUGAGAGGAUGAUCAGCCACACUGGAACUGAGACACGGUCCAGACUCCUACGGGAGGCAGCAGUGGGGAAUAUUGGACAAUGGGCGCAAGCCUGAUCCAGCCAUACCGCGUGGGUGAAGAAGGCCUUCGGGUUGUAAAGCCCUUUUGUUGGGAAAGAAAAGCAGCGGGUUAAUACCCCGCUGUUCUGACGGUACCCAAAGAAUAAGCACCGGCUAACUUCGUG